GUCCACGCCGUAAACGAUGGAUGCUAGCUGUAAGAGGUAUCGACCCCUCUUGUAGCGAAGCUAACGCGUUAAGCAUCCCGCCUGUGGAGUACGGUCGCAAGACUAAAACAUAAAGGAAUUGACGGGGACCCGCACAAGCGGUGGAGCGUGUUGUUUAAUUCGAUGGUAAACGAAGAACCUUACCCAGGUUUGACAUCCUUGGAAUUUUGCCGAAAGGCGAGAGUGCUUUAUUGAACCAAGUGACAGGUGUUGCAUGGCCGUCGU
RNAcentral lists this ribosomal RNA (264 nucleotides) under uncultured bacterium. RNAcentral's name for it is "partial 16S ribosomal RNA". It matches the Rfam family "Bacterial small subunit ribosomal RNA", at positions 793 to 1055 of the family's 1533-position model. The record is from RNAcentral.